ACCGUAAAAGUGAAGAAAUUUUGGUUUAGANUUUGGAAGAUNNUUUAGGNNNGGGAAGUUUAAGUUUUUAAAAAAAGGUAAAAUUUUGAAAAAANUUAUUCUUUCANAAGNAGAAAGUUUUUAAAAAUUCAGAAGUGAAACUAGGAUUAGAUACCCUAUUAUUAUAGAAUAAAGAGAAAUNUAGGUAGUAAUGGAGGUCUUGAAACUUAAAGAAUUUGGCGGUGUUUUAAUCUAAUCAGAGGAACUUGUGUCUUAACUCGAAAUUACACGUUUUAUCUUACUUAAGUUUANGUUUGUAUAUCGUCGUAAAAAUAAAACUUUGAGGUGAGUAUUUAAUAUUAUUAAANUAAUGAAUUACAGAUCAAGGUUCAGCUNAUAUUUAAGNGUGACAUGAGUUACAAUACUACUUUACGUAAAUGGAUAAUUUUCUNNGAAAAGNGAAUUUUGAAGGUGGAUUUGAAAGU
Molecule: ribosomal RNA, 464 nt
Filed under: Buthus mariefranceae
Lineage: Eukaryota; Metazoa; Arthropoda; Arachnida; Scorpiones; Buthidae
Description: partial 12S ribosomal RNA
Source: RNAcentral